UACGGAGGGUGCAAGCGUUAUCCGGAUUCACUGGGUUUAAAGGGUGCGUAGGUGGGUAGGUAAGUCAGUGGUGAAAUCCCCGAGCUUAACUUGGGAACUGCCGUUGAUACUAUCUAUCUUGAAUAUCGCGUAGGUAAGCGGAAUAUGUCAUGUAGCGGUGAAAUGCUUAGAUAUGACAUAGAACACCAAUUGCGAAGGCAGCUUACUUCAAGAUUAUUGACACUGAGGCACGAAAGCGUGGGGAUCAAACAGG
This 253-nucleotide ribosomal RNA is filed under the name uncultured bacterium. RNAcentral's name for it is "partial 16S ribosomal RNA". It matches the Rfam family "Bacterial small subunit ribosomal RNA", at positions 524 to 776 of the family's 1533-position model. The record is from RNAcentral.